RNAcentral lists this unclassified non-coding RNA (201 nucleotides) under Hevea brasiliensis (rubber tree). Lineage: Eukaryota; Viridiplantae; Streptophyta; Magnoliopsida; Malpighiales; Euphorbiaceae. The record is from RNAcentral.
GGAUGCUCAAGAGAGGUCCGCAUCGAUGAGGAAGCUUAUGACGGCAGUCGUUCUUUGCGUCAUAUUCAUGACAGUGGAAGUGAUUGGUGGCAUCAAAGCCAACAGUCUUGCAAUCUUAACUGACGCGGCUCAUCUCCUUUCGGACGUUGCAGCAUUCGCCAUUUCCUUGUUCUCUCUCUGGGCAUCAGGGUGGGAGGCUAC